RNAcentral lists this unclassified non-coding RNA (359 nucleotides) under soil metagenome. Its description in RNAcentral is "partial contains 5.8S ribosomal RNA, internal transcribed spacer 2, and large subunit ribosomal RNA". The stretch from base 1 to 119 matches the Rfam family "5.8S ribosomal RNA", at positions 35 to 154 of the family's 154-position model. The record is from RNAcentral.
GAUGAAAACGUAGCGAAAUGCGAUAAGUAAUGCGAAUUGCAGAAUUCAGUGAAUCAUCGAAUCUUUGAACGCACAUUGCGCCCGCCAGUAUUCUGGCGGGCAUGCCUGUCUGAGCGUCGUUUCGACCCUCGCGCCCGGCUUCUGUCGGGGGCGGUGUUGGGGAUCGGCCACACCCUUCAGUGGGAGGCCGGCCCCUAAAUUCAGUGGCGACCACGCUGUAGCCUCCCCUGCGUAGUACUAAAACCACCUCGCAGGCGGAGAGCGGUGCGGCCCGCCGUAAAACCCCCCAACUUUUACAAGGUCGACCUCAGAUCAGGUAGGAAUACCCGCUGAACUUAAGCAUAUCAAUAAGCGGAGGA